CCUACGGGUGGCAGCAGUAGGGAAUAUUGCUCAAUGGGGGAAACCCUGAAGCAGCAACGCCGCGUGGAGGAUGAAGGUUUUCGGAUUGUAAACUCCUUUUGUUAGAGAAGAAAGUGAAGGUAUCUAACGAAUAAGCACUGGCUAACGCCGUGCCAGCAGCCGCGGUAAUACGGCGGGUGCAAGCGUUACUCGGAAUUACUGGGCGUAAAGAGCGCGUAGGCGGGAUAGCAAGUCAGAGGUGAAAUCCUAUGGCUUAACCAUAGAACUGCCUUUGAAACUGUUAUUCUAGAGUAUGGGAGAGGUAGGUGGAAUUCUUGGUGUAGGGGUAAAAUCCGUAGAGAUCAAGAGGAA
Molecule: ribosomal RNA, 351 nt
Filed under: uncultured bacterium
Lineage: Bacteria
Description: partial 16S ribosomal RNA
Rfam family: Bacterial small subunit ribosomal RNA
Source: RNAcentral